AAGCCGGUCUGUCGCGCACGCUGGUCGUGUGAGGAAAGUCCGGGCAACACAGGGCACCAUACUUCUUAACGAGAAGCUGUCCGUGAGGGUAGAGUAGCGUAACAGAAAAUAACCGCCGCCGCUGCAGAGCGGCGGUAAGGGUGAAAAGGUGGGGUAAGAGCCCACGGGUGGGGGUGGUGACACGUUCCGCCGUACGUCUUAUGGGUUGUAAGGUUAUGUAUAUCGGCGUUUGAGGGCUGCCCGUCCGAGCCGAGGGGUAAACCGCAAAGAGCUGCAUGGUGACAUGCAGCCAAGAUAAAUGGCAGACACUGCGUGAAAUAUCGCGGCACAGAACCCGGCUUAUAGGCUUGCUGU
This 354-nucleotide RNase P RNA is filed under the name uncultured Barnesiella sp. RNAcentral describes it as "Bacterial RNase P class A". It matches the Rfam family "Bacterial RNase P class A". From Rfam's summary of the family: Ribonuclease P (RNase P) is a ubiquitous endoribonuclease, found in archaea, bacteria and eukarya as well as chloroplasts and mitochondria. Its best characterised activity is the generation of mature 5'-ends of tRNAs by cleaving the 5'-leader elements of precursor-tRNAs. The record is from RNAcentral. Lineage: Bacteria; Pseudomonadati; Bacteroidota; Bacteroidia; Bacteroidales; Barnesiellaceae.